UAUAAAACAGUGCUACAUACUGUUACCGCCGACAUGAGAUGUGGUUUGGAGCUUAGCCUAAACAUGACUACGUACGAUUAGAUGUUUGUUGCCUAUUUUUAAAUGUUACAGCUGUGACCACUAGCGACCAACUUCACGUGUAACAUAGCGUGGCCAGAGGUGCGAAGAGUGUGUGCUGCCUGCCUGAGCUACGUUGAGUACUGCUGCGCGUGACAUACUCAGCUGAGCAUCGCACCGUACAGCCUGCUGAUGAGCGGUGAAUUGCUUGGCCUGUGCUGCAUUGCUGGGCCUGUGCUGCAGUGCUGGGCAGAGAAGAGUGAGCUGCGUGUGACGCUUCGCAGAGGGAUUAAUAUUUUUGCCCCGACAUUGUGGCAAUUGUUCGCCCCGACAUUGUGGCGUUUGAUAGCCCCGACAUUGUGGCUAUAGUUUGCCCCGACCUUGUGGCAAUUGUUCGCCCCGACAUUGUGGCGUUUGUUAGCCCCGACAUUGUGGCUAUAGUUUGUGAAUACGAGUUGUAGCUACCUAUUUUAAUCUGAUCACUUGAAAUGCACACUUGUGAUCAUUUUACAAUGGGUAGUUGUCAAUGACAACAAAGUAUGAAACAACAAUCAAAAGAUUUCUUUUGCUUUAGAUGACGGUGGUUUGACUGGGGUUAAAGGAAGAUGAAGCCCGAGGAACUCCUGCUGAAGAGGAGCAGAGCCAAGCCGAGGGGAGUUAAGCUGACGAGGACGUUCAGCUGUCAGGAGAGGCCGUGUUAGAAACUUUCCCACGACCCGGCUCAGUGACGUCGUGCAACGGAGCGCGGAGAGCGAGGCAAUAACGCCGCGUGCGCCACGUCGCAUCAUGCGGUAGCAUCGCUCUCUUUGCUUCGAGCUCGCGGCAGCGACGGACGUACUCUCUAGUGCUAAUAAGACGCGUACUUGUACUUGUGUUGAUAAACAUUUAGUUGAUGUAAAUGAAUAAAUCUUGUAAGGUUACUCCGUGUCUU
This 988-nucleotide unclassified non-coding RNA is filed under the name Melitaea cinxia (Glanville fritillary). RNAcentral describes it as "misc RNA ENSMCXG00005010280.1". The record is from RNAcentral. Lineage: Eukaryota; Metazoa; Arthropoda; Insecta; Lepidoptera; Nymphalidae.